Molecule: transfer RNA, 85 nt
Organism: Felis catus (domestic cat)
Lineage: Eukaryota; Metazoa; Chordata; Mammalia; Carnivora; Felidae
Rfam family: tRNA
About the family: Transfer RNA (tRNA) molecules are approximately 80 nucleotides in length.
Source: Rfam
GCCUGGGUGGCUCAGUCGGUUGAGCGUCGGACUUCGGCUCAGGUCACGAUCUCGCGGUCCGUGAGUUCGAGACCCACCUCGGGCU